Molecule: ribosomal RNA, 253 nt
Filed under: uncultured bacterium
Lineage: Bacteria
Description: partial 16S ribosomal RNA
Rfam family: Bacterial small subunit ribosomal RNA
Source: RNAcentral
UACGUAGGGUGCAAGCGUUGUCCGGAAUUAUUGGGCGUAAAGAGCUCGUAGGCGGUUUGUCGCGUCUGCGGUGAAAACUCGGGGCUCAACCCCGAGCUUGCAGUGGGUACGGGCAGACUAGAGUGCGGUAGGGGAGACUGGAAUUCCUGGUGUAGCGGUGGAAUGCGCAGAUAUCAGGAGGAACACCGGUGGCGAAGGCGGGUCUCUGGGCCGAUACUGACGCUGAGGAGCGAAAGCGUGGGGAGCGAACAGG